ACUACUACUAAUACCCUCUCUACUUACAAGUUUUAUUGUUUAUGAUACUUUGUUCAUUAUAAUAUUAUAUUGUUCACUGAACUGCUGAAAGCAUUCGCACGUUGCCGCGCGUCCUGAUCAAGUCGUAUGUAUCUAAUUCUUUCAAUUAUAGUAUAUAUUUAAUUUGAUUUGAUUUUAUAUAGUUGUAAAUCAAUUAAUCGUAAACCAAAUAGGUAAGUGGUGUAAAAUCUAAAAAGUUUAUCUACUGAUGAAAAUAAAUAGAUUGUUAUAAAACUAAUAGCUGCUUUGUUGUAUUCACCAGGUAUUUAAAAUAUGCUUUGAUAUUUUUAUAGAUAAGAUGGUUUUUUGCUUUACUUGUGAUGUUAAGUUGUAUGGUGAACGGACACGUGUGAGUUCCAGUAUUUCUCCUCAUUCUAAUACACCAUACCCUGAAAAGAUUGCUGAAAUUUUGGGAGAAGAUUUUUUGAUUAUAGUAACUCCAGCUGAUCAUAUGUGCAAGAAAUGCGCAUCACUUUUGACACAUGUAGACAAGUUGGAACAAGACCUUAAAGCUGUUAAAAAUGCGAUGGUAACAUUAAUCCAAAGAAAAUAUGGAUUCAUACCGGCUGAUCAGCCGAUCAAGACUUUUGAUGUAUGUUUUUAUUAUUUCAUAUACUCAAUACUAUAAUAUGUAUAGUUAAUACUUUAUAUCCUAAGGCAGAUAAUUAGUUUGUUUAUUUUAUUGUUAUUUCCAUCCACUGUCUAGAUUGUCAAUGGAAAUUUGAAAAUUGAAGAUGUAGAACCUACUCAGCCAAAAGUAGCCAGUGGGUCGACAGUUAAGCAUACAUCUGUGAAGUCGCCAUUGAGAAUGACUAAACAACAGGAAGCUUCAAAAAUGAAAAUAUAUAAAUGCGGUUUUUGUGCAUUCCAAUCUAAAGAACUUGGCCAUGUUCGGUAUGUAUUUAGGUUAUAUUACCGGGGAUCAGAUAAAAGUUUUAAUUUAUUAAU
Cinara cedri is the source of this 987-nucleotide non-coding RNA. The record is from the annotation of a GenBank genome assembly. NCBI's taxonomy places the organism in Eukaryota, Metazoa, Arthropoda, Insecta, Hemiptera, Aphididae.